AUACAAGCUUGCAUCCCAUUCUCCAGCAUCCGCGGUCCAAAGAUCUCUUCCCAGCCGGUGAACAUCUCUUUGUUAUCUGAAUUCCCAACAUCUCAUAUGCAUACCAUUCUCAUCUCCUCCACGUUGAUUCUCCCACGCCCAGCUGAGAUCUCCUCAACAUCUUCAUCUCCACUGCGUCGAAGCAACAUCAGCCCAUUCUUCCGGAUUACUUCACACCUCUUCUACGCGAUUUGGCUUUAUCUUCCCGAGUUCACGGCAUCUAAACACAACCCCAAAAUCUCUCUCUGUUCGCAAGAUCAACUCCCAGCAAAUCUAACCUUAAUCCUCUUCCGAGAUCCUCCCAAACGGAACAAAGUUCUCCACAUCUUUCUUUGCUUCGGAAUUAAGUUCCAAAUUCGUCGAAACUUCUUCCACGUCUGCAGAUCAAGCAACCAGCCCUCAUCCCAUUCGUAAUCUUCUCUUCAAACCAAUUCCCCUGUUUCAGCCGUGAAGAGCAAAACUCCCAACAAAUGGCAACUAAUCAGCCGAUUCCUUCACAUCUCCUACUCCUAAAUCAUCUCCUCUUCAUCACGAAUCGAAACAACCGCUUCCCCCUCCACGGAUAAGCUCCCAGCCAUCAAAUCUUCUUCCGGAUUCCCCUGCUUCAGAACAGAAUGCUAACAGUCCACGUUCAUUCCAGACAACCGAGAUGAACCCAAUGAGUUCCAGUUUUCCUCCCAGCAUUUCUAGAAUUAUUCCAUAGAUUAUCUCCCGGAUAUCCUCUUCUGAUUCAAGCCAACCGUCAUCCCGUUCGCAGCUUCCAACAUCCACGAGAUAAACUUCAAAUCUCAACAUCCCGUUCCAUCUUCUUCUUCCACUCAUUCCCAGCAGUUCUUCAA
This 878-nucleotide long non-coding RNA is filed under the name Phoenix dactylifera (date palm). RNAcentral's name for it is "long non-coding RNA (PDAC_LNC011543)". Lineage: Eukaryota; Viridiplantae; Streptophyta; Magnoliopsida; Arecales; Arecaceae. The record is from RNAcentral.